AGAGAAGACCAGCAGUGAGGAGAAGAGCACAAUCAACCUCACAGUGCAACCCCCAGAAGAAGAGCUGGAAGAGGAUCAGCCGUUAGGAGACCGUUCAGGGCACAUCAGUCAGCUGGAGAGCACAGUGUCCCAGAUGAGAGAGAGUCUGUUUCUGCAAUAAGUAGAGCUGG
Molecule: long non-coding RNA, 170 nt
Organism: Etheostoma spectabile (orangethroat darter)
Lineage: Eukaryota; Metazoa; Chordata; Actinopteri; Perciformes; Percidae
Exons: 3
Source: RefSeq, a predicted model, not a curated record